AGAAUAAGAAAAUAAAAUAGAUACAAAUAGAUAGAAAGGUAGAGUCACAAAGAUUUAAAAAAAAUAAAGAGUCCACAAAAUGAUACUAUAAGCUAUUUCAGUAAUAAGUCUGUAAAUAAAAUAGAAUAAAUGGCUAGAAAAAUAUAAGCUAAGUAAGAUCCAAUUUGUAAUAUUAAUGUAAAUAUACACUACCCUGAAAUAAAUCUAAGGGAACUACCAAAUAAAAUAGCAUUAAUGAGUAUUUAAAUACAUGGGAAUGUAUUUUUUCUCUUCAUGGGAAAACUCCAUAUUUUAAACUUCUCACAAAUCCCUAGUUUCAACUAUAAAUAUACUGCAAUUAAAUAAAAGACAUAAUGUGAGCUUUUUGGAGAAUACAUGAAUGAAAAUGGCCACGAGCAGUUUGGAAAAUAAAACUAUAUGGAAAGAAUGAGGGACAGUUUAUUAUAAAAUCAGAUGUUAUAAUGCUACAAUUAUUAAACCUUAUUGUAUUGAUGCAGAGAAGAGAAACAUAAGCAACAGGCCAGAAACAAACUCAUAAAUAUAAAUAUUAAUAGAAAUGAAGAAUAUUUUAUUUUUGUCUUUUUUUGGGAGGGGAUAUUUUUAGGGCUGCACCUGCAGCAUAUGGAGGUUCCCAGGCUAGGGGUCUAAUCAGAGUUAUAGCUUCUGGCCUUCACCACUGCCACAGCAACGCCAGAUCCAAGCCAUGUCUAUGACCUACACCACAGCUCACAACAAUGCCAGAUCAUUAAGCCACUGUGAGGCCAGGGAUUGAACCCUCAACCUCAUGGUUCCUAGUCAGAUUUGUUUCCACUGCACCACCACAGGAACUCCAUAAAUGAAGAAUAUUUUAAAUUAUAAAUUUACUUUGUUCAAGUAAUGUUGCUACAAAAUUGGCUAAUUUUAAGGUCCUUACCUCAUAUCAUAUACUAUAAUAAAAUACUGAUGAAAUAAAGAGUUAAAUGUAAUAGAUAAAAACAUAAAAGAACUAGAAGAAAUGCAGUUGCACAAGAACUUUCUAGGAAUAAAAGCAAGGGAAAAACCAAAAUUGAUUCUAUUUAUAAAACAAAAUUUUAAAUGGGUACAUGUAAAAAUAUAAAUUACAUGAUCAAAUUGGAACAGUGUUUACAAACUAUGUUAUAAAAGUUCACUAUCUUAAAUAAAGAUCUCGGGAGUUCCCCGGUAGCACAGUGGGUUAAGGAUCCAUCACUGUCUCUGCUGUGGCUCAGGUUACUGCUAUGAAGUGGAUUCAGUCCCUGGCCUGGGAACUUCUGUAUGCCACAAGUGCGGCCAAAAAUAAUUUGAGUAAAGAGCUCUUAAAAAUAAUAAAACAAUAUCCAAAUAUUGAUUAUUUCAACAAAUCUUAAUUGUAUGUCUACUAUAUACUAGGUAGUAUUCUAGAAGUUAGGAAUGAACAAAAGUUCAAAAUCUGAUGUCUCUGUGAGGACAAUACAUAGUGGAAAUAUGAGCAAAUGGCAGAAAUGUGAAAAUUAUCUGCACACCAACCCACAUACACACAAAGAUAGAAUAGCAUUUCUUAUGACUGAAAUAUUUCAUAAUGGAAGUUAUAUACAGAAAACAUAAUUACUUAUGUAUAAGAAUAUUUACUACUCCCUUAUUUAAAAUAGGAAAUAAUAAACUAAAGUCAACUGGUUAAACCAAUUAUAUUUUAUAUAAUGAUGAAAUUCUAUUAAAUCCUAUAAAGUUGAAAUAUCCUUAGAUAUUUUUCCCACUAUUAUAGUUGAAUUAGGAUAUGGGGUGAAACUGAAUUAUAAUUUUAUGACAUAAAUAAUAAAUGUACAUACGAUGCAUUCCUUCCCAUCUUUUUUCUACAUGUAUGUAUACAUACAUGAGGAAAACAAACCUAAUAAAAGCAAUUGAAAGAUACCCCAAAAUGCAGCUACAGAGAAAUGCUUAAUUAAGUUAUGAUAUAAUAAUAGGAUGGAAUAGUAUUGAAUUAUUAAAUACUAUGCUUUGAGAGAAUAUUGAUUCCUUUAGAAAACAUUCUCGGUAGAAGCUUUUGGAAGGAACUAUUAAAACAUUAACAAUGAUUAUUUCUGUGUGGUAAGAUGUUGAGAACUUUAUACAAUUUUCAACACGUUCUAUUUUUUAUAAUAGAUGUUUUACUUUUAUAUUCAGAUGUUAAAAAUAAUUUUCAACAGUCUACUUUAUGGAACCCAUCUCAAUAUUUUGUAAAAAGUAAUGGCUUUGCUUCCUAUCCUUAUGAUCCUAAUUAGUACAUUGUUUAUGGUGUUUUCUUUGAAGGGAUUUGCCUUUUAGUUUUUGGCAUGUCUCUUUGGUUUGAUUAACUGGGCUUCUGUUCUGCUUCUCUGCAUCGCAAUUGAGUGUUUGCUGUGGAGGAGGCAAAAAGAAGCAGGACAAUAUUAUUAUAUUCUCCCCUGAGGCUUCCUAUUUUCCAGAGAUUAGACAUAUUUGCUCAACAGCACCAAGCUGCUGUAACAAUUUCUCUCUCAUUUCCUUUACACCCAGGGGCAAAUGGCAACUUUCUUGUCUGUCACUUUCCAACUCAGGAAGCUGAUGCAUGUAUUUCCGUUAUUUAAUAAUGACAGAUAGCUCCCAGCAUCAAACCAUCCAAGAAAACUGUUGGCCUCUGGCAGGGAAAGAGCAGUAUAAGUUUUCAACAUUCUGGUAGCUUACAAUGGAUCUGGGAUGGUUCUUUAAAUUCAUAUGUGAUACUGAGCUGGUUGGCAGAAUUCUAUUUACCAUCAAUAAAAUGCCUUUAAUAAUUAUUGCUCCCAAAGCAAAAGUAAAAUGUAUAUUUAUGUCCGAUUCGGUGAUGUCUGAUUAUAGAGAAGGCAGAGAGGGAGUCAGUCAACAAGUACUGUAGCCCAUGUGACAUGAGAGAAAAAAUACUGUCCUGCUAACCAUGGUGUUUUCUGGGUGGUAAGGAAGAACACUGGCUCCACCCCAUGAGCCCACUCACUUCUCCCUUAAAAAACUGUGGUGACUGAGUGACUGAGUUUUCCUGUGCAGACAGAUUGGGUGAACACAGUGGGUGAGAUAAUUCUCACAAGUUCAUGUGUGUCUGUCCUCCUUUCUCUACCUCCCUUUCUGGGGCAUCUAUUGAGUGCUUACUGUGUGUGAGAGCAAGUUCUAAAAGCAGGAUGUGCAUUCUCUUGUGGCCCAGCAGGUUAAGGACCCAGCAUCAUCACUGCAGCGGCUGGGGUUGCUGCUACUGUGCGGGUUUGAUCCCUGGCCCAGGAACUUCUACAUGCUGUGAGCACAGGCAAAAAAAAUAAUAAAAUAAAAGCAGGACAUGCAGUGGCAAACAAAACAGACAUGGUCCUUACUUUCCUCAAGCUGGUGUUCUGUGAGGAGAUAGACAAGAAGACAAUAAAUAAUUGCAUAAUCUCAUUCCAGCUUGUGAUUGAAAAACCUAAGGAUACAGGGAGUUGAUGAAUAGGAAAGGACGGGAGCAAGCUUUUUUAGGUAGAGUAACUGGAAAAAACACCUCUGAGAUGAUUCCAUAUGUGUCCAAAUAAGCCUGAGUGCUGAAAAGGAGUCACUCAAAGACCUGGGCAAGGACAACAGACAACGCAAAUGGAAGGAGCCACAAGUGUGAAGCUCUGACGUGGGAGAAAGUAUGAUACACUGGAGCAGGAGCAAGGAGGCCAGAGUGUCUGCAACAGAGCUAGCAUGAACACUAACAUGAGCACAAGGAGGUGGUCGUCGAGGACAGGCUGGCACAAGCCAGGUCAUAUAGGGUCUCAUAAGAGAGGGUAUGAAGUUUUGAUUUUAACUUAAGUGCAAUGAGGCAUAUUAGAGAGCAUUAAGGAGAGCAGGAGUCCGUUCAGAUUUUCUUUAAAAAGAUGACUCCACUUUGCUAUACAAUAGACCUUGAAGAAAUAUUGUAAAUCAACUAUAAUUUUUAAAAAGUAAUUGAAAAAAUAAUAAAAAGAUGACUGUGGCUUUGGUGUAGAAAAUGGCCUCAGGGAAACAAGACUAGAUAAAAGAUCACUAUGCCAGGCGGAUGGAGCAACACAGGUGAGAGAUGGUGGUUGAUAGGACUGGGGUUGGUGAAAGCAAUUGCACAAAGACUUGGGGGCAAAUAAUGAUUUUUUUUUAGUAUUUUUACAUUUACAGUGGGAUUUCUCAAACUUUAUCUCAAAUAAUCUUUAAAGUCCCUUCCAACUCUAAAAAUAUAAAGAGUAAGCAUUCAUGAUCUUAGGGAAGUUCAAUAACUUUUCAAUCUCUAAAAUCAUUACAAUAUAGUUGAUGGUGGAAUUGCACCCUCCGUAACUAUCCCAGGAUAUAUCUGUUUUAAAAUGUUGUUUUCAGCUUUUCUAAUUUCAGAGAAUUAUUCAGUAAAUAUUGUGUACUUUUGCUGUUACAGGUGCUAGAGAUCAAUUUUUACAUUGGAAUGAACUGGUUUUAGUUUAUAGCUCAACCUGUGUUUUUAAUCCCGUACUCUCUGGAGCUGGAAUGCAUGGCUGGCUUCUGAGCCAGGAUGAGUCUGAAGUGAUGAUAAUCUAUGUAAGAGAGGUAACAAUUGUGAUAUGGGAACACAGGUAAUAUUGAGGAGAAAAAUUUAAGAUUCUUCCAUUAUUCUAAACAAAUGAUGCUUUGCAAAAAUUAUACGAUCGUCUUUUAAAUUGUGACCAAUAUUUAUUCAUUCAACAAUUUGGUAACAUUGGUUAAUAAAAUAGAAAUGGUCUCAAUC
Molecule: long non-coding RNA, 4678 nt
Filed under: Sus scrofa (pig)
Lineage: Eukaryota; Metazoa; Chordata; Mammalia; Artiodactyla; Suidae
Description: lncRNA (ENSSSCG00000059886.1, ENSSSCG00105032472.1, ENSSSCG00110008773.1)
Source: RNAcentral